AGAGUUUGAUCCUGGCUCAGAGCGAACGCUGGCGGCGUGCUUAACACAUGCAAGUCGAACGCGCAGUUUUCUGUAGCAAUACAGGAAAUGGGCGCGUGGCGAACGGGUGCGUAACACGUGGGCAACCUUCCCUUCGGUGGGGGAUACCCUCGCGAAAGCGAGACUAAUACCGCAUAACAUUCCCCUGGUUACGACUGGGGGAUUCAAAGCAGCAAUGCGCCGGAAGAGGGGCCCGCGGCCGAUUAGCUAGUUGGUGAGGUAACGGCUCACCAAGGCUUUGAUCGGUAACCGGUCUGAGAGGACGAUCGGUCACACUGGAACUGAGACACGGUCCAGACUCCUACGGGAGGCAGCAGUGAGGAAUAUUGCGCAAUGGGCGAAAGCCUGACGCAGCGACGCCGCGUGGGGGAUGAAGCUUUUCGGAGUGUAAACCCCUUUCGACCCGGACGAAAGCCCGCAAGGGCCUGACGGUACGGGUAUAAGAAGCCCCGGCUAACUACGUGCCAGCAGCCGCGGUAAAACGUAGGGGGCCAGCGUUGCUCGGAAUUACUGGGCGUAAAGGGUCUGUAGGCGGUGCGGCAAGUCGGAAGUGAAAUCUGAGGGCUCAACCCUUAGACUGCUCCCGAAACUGCCGUGCUAGAGUGCGAGAGAGGCGGGUGGAAUUGCAGGUGUAGCGGUGAAAUGCGUAGAUAUCUGCAGGAACAUCCGAGGCGAAAGCGGCCCGCUGGAUCGCAACUGACGCUGAGAGACGAAAGCUAGGGGAGCAAACAGGAUUAGAUACCCUGGUAGUCCUGGCCCUAAACGAUCAGGACUUGGCGUGGGCCCUGUACGGGGCUCGUGCCGUAGCUAACGCGAUAAGUCCUGCGCCUGGGGAGUACGGUCGCAAGGCUGAACUCAAAGGAAUUGACGGGGGCCCGCACAAGCGGUGAACAUGUGGUUCAAUUCGACGCAACGCGAAGAACCUUACCUGGGCUUGAAGUGCACCGGGACCAUCCUUGGAAACAGGGACUUC
This 1012-nucleotide ribosomal RNA is filed under the name uncultured bacterium. RNAcentral's name for it is "bacterial SSU rRNA". It matches the Rfam family "Bacterial small subunit ribosomal RNA", at positions 8 to 1016 of the family's 1533-position model. The record is from RNAcentral.